Molecule: ribosomal RNA, 500 nt
Filed under: uncultured Myrionecta
Lineage: Eukaryota; Ciliophora; Litostomatea; Cyclotrichida; Mesodiniidae
Description: bacterial SSU rRNA
Rfam family: Eukaryotic small subunit ribosomal RNA
Source: RNAcentral
ACUUACCAGGUCCAGACAUAGUAAGGAUUGACGGAUUGAAAGCUCUUUCUUGAUUCUAUGGGUGGUGGUGCAUGGCCGUUCUUAGUUGGUGGAGUGAUUUGUCAGGUUUAUUCCGGUAACGAACGAGACCUCGGCCUUGUAAAUAGCUAUGCUGCUUACAGGGACAUUGGCGGCUACGCCAAGGAAGCUCGAGGCAAUUGCAGAUCUGGAAUGCCCUUAGAUGUCCUGGGUCGCACGCGUGCUACAAUGACGCCACGAACGAGCUUGCGUGAUGAAGGUUACGCAUAAUCAGCAGUCGGCGUCUUAAGGGAUAGUCUCUUGUAACUGUGGGACUCCAACUAGGAAUGUCUCGUAAGCACAAGUCAACAUCUUGUGUUGAUUACGUCCCUGCUCUUUGUACACACCGCCCGUCGCUCCUACCGAUCGAGUGUUUAGGUGAAUUUGAUGGACGUAAGGAAGUCAAAUAAACCUGAGCACUAGAGAAGAGAAGUCACCAAUGU